RNAcentral lists this ribosomal RNA (496 nucleotides) under uncultured bacterium. RNAcentral's name for it is "partial 16S ribosomal RNA". It matches the Rfam family "Bacterial small subunit ribosomal RNA", at positions 28 to 506 of the family's 1533-position model. The record is from RNAcentral.
GAUGAACGCUGGCGGCGUGCCUAAUACAUGCAAGUCGAGCGAACAGACGAGGAGUUUGCUCCUCUGACGUUAGCGGCGGACGGGUGAGUAACACGUGGAUAACCUACCUAUAAGACUGGGAUAAUCUCGGGAAACCGGAGCUAAUACCGGAUAAUAUACUGCACCGCAUGGUUCAAUAGUGAAAGACGGCUUUGCUGUCACUUAUAGAUGGUUCCGGGCCGCAUUAGCUAGUUGGUAAGUUACCGGCUUACCAAGGCGACCAUGCUUAACCGACGUGAGAGGGUGUUCGGCCACUGAGAAGGUGAGAGGCGACACAGGGACCGAGGGGAGGCAGCGGUAGGUAAGCUACGGAGAUGGGCGAAAGCCUGACGGAGCAGCGGCAGGUGGAUGAUGAAGGUCUGCGGAUCGUAAAACGCUGUUAUUGGGGAAGAACAAAUGUGUAAGUAACGAUGCGCGAGUGAACGGAACCGAAACAGAAGGCCACGCCAAACUACGG